RNAcentral lists this unclassified non-coding RNA (566 nucleotides) under Hevea brasiliensis (rubber tree). Lineage: Eukaryota; Viridiplantae; Streptophyta; Magnoliopsida; Malpighiales; Euphorbiaceae. The record is from RNAcentral.
CCCUAUGUGGUUAUAUAGGAAGCUCAAGUUGAGCCUUUGGUAAAAAAUAAAGAGAAGUUAAAAAUGAAAGAAGUUAAGCAUGUUAUGAUGAUUUUGUUUCAGUUGAAUUAGUUGAGGAUGAUGGUCUAUGUUUUGAAGAGAGAAUAACAUAGUAGAGGGUAAGGUAGUAAUCAAAAAGAGACCUAGCAAAAGAGAGAAGAGAAAAGGAAAUGGGGAAUCAUGUAUGGAAGGUUGCAACCAUUUGUUGAUGCUCUGUGGUUUGAAGAGAGAAGAAAAGAAAAGAGGGUAGCGGGGGGGGGUCAGAGAGAGACCGAGUGAAAGAGAGGAUGUGAAAGAGAGGAUAAAUGGGGCAAUAGGGAAGAUGACUUGGAUUUUAUUUGAGGGCAUUUAAGUCUUUUUCAAAUGGAGAGAGAAAAAGAGAUUUUUCUUAACAAAUGCCAUACGGAGGAGAGGUGAAAUGAGAGAGACGACUUGGUACCACAGUGAAAGUGACACGUAACUAGAAAACUAGUUAUUUUAUGUCAAAAGGACUUUUUUGUUCACUAAAUUAAUAUUGAGGGUUUUUA